This 257-nucleotide ribosomal RNA is filed under the name uncultured bacterium. RNAcentral describes it as "partial 16S ribosomal RNA". It matches the Rfam family "Bacterial small subunit ribosomal RNA", at positions 1235 to 1500 of the family's 1533-position model. The record is from RNAcentral.
UGAUACAGAGGGCCGGCCGCUGGCAACAUCGGUCCAAUCCUUAAAGUCAUCCUCAGUUCGGACUGGGGUCUGCAACCCGACCCCACGAAGCUGGAUUCGCUAGUAAUCGCGCAUCAGCCAUGGCGCGGUGAAUACGUUCCCGGGCCUUGUACACACCGCCCGUUAAGCCAUGAAAGCCGGGGGCGCCUGAAGUCCGUGACCGCGAGGGUCGGCCUAGGGUGAAACCGGUGAUUGGGGCUAAGUCGUAACAAGGUACC